GACGAACGCUGGCGGCGUGCUUAACACAUGCGAGUCGAACGGAAAGGCCCUGCUUUUGUGGGGUGCUCGAGUGGCGAACGGGUGAGUAACACGUGAGUAACCUGCCCUUGACUUUGGGAUAACUUCAGGAAACUGGGGCUAAUACCGGAUAGGAGCUCCUGCUGCAUGGUGGGGGUUGGAAAGUUUCGGCGGUUGGGGAUGGACUCGCGGCUUAUCAGCUUGUUGGUGGGGUAGUGGCUUACCAAGGCUUUGACGGGUAGCCGGCCUGAGCGGGUGGCCGGCCACAUUGGGACUGAGAUACGGCCCAGACUCCUACGGGAGGCAGCAGUGGGGAAUAGUGCACAAUGGGCGGAAGCCUGAUGCAGCAACGCCGCGUGCGGGAUGACGGCCUUCGGGUUGUAAACCGCUUUCGCCUGUGACGAAGCGUGAGUGACGGUAAUGGGUAAAGAAGCACCGGCUAACUACGUG
RNAcentral lists this ribosomal RNA (468 nucleotides) under uncultured bacterium. Its description in RNAcentral is "partial 16S ribosomal RNA". It matches the Rfam family "Bacterial small subunit ribosomal RNA", at positions 28 to 507 of the family's 1533-position model. The record is from RNAcentral.